AAAACUGUCCACUUUUUGAUUGAAAAGACAAAAAUACCCUUUACAUUAAAAUUUAAAAAAAUGGCCACUUUCUCUAGCUCUCUUCCCUCGUCCUAAUCGAGAACAAAAUUUCCAACUUGUAAAAUCCCUAACUUCAUCUCCUUCAAUUUCCGGCGAAGACCACCGCUAUCAGUCCGACGCCGUCGCCGCCGUAGUUGCAGGGCCACCUGCGACGCCACACUCUCUUCUCCUUCAGGUAAUGAUCGAAAUUCGGCGGAUCGGCGUGGCCGAACUCGGUGCGGAUCUCGAUGAUUAAGAUCUCCAUGGCAGACGUCGAGGUAGAGCGCGCCGGCGGCGAGUUAGUCGUAGAUGGAGAGGUUUUGGCACUAGGCGAAGGGGAGUUCUAGACCUCCGAUUUGGCACGCGGCAGUCUCUCUCUCUCUCUCACAAAUCCAAAUCGAAACACACACACACGACUCAAAUCUAUCGGGCUCCCUCUCCUCAAGGUCGUGCUGUGGAAGCGAUGGGCCGGCAGCCGGGAUGCUGUCGUACCCGCUCGGAUUAUUUGAUAUCCCCCUUUUCUGCUUCACUUUCCUGGUGUGUGUGUGUGUGUGUGUGUGUGUCUUUUUGUGUUGGAAAUUCAGCAAAAUUUCUGUCUUUUUGUUGAAAAAGUGUAGCUGAAGAGAAUAGAGAAUAAAAUUAAUCGGCAAGUGACCUUCUCCAAGCGGCGAUCGGGACUUCUCAAAAAAGCUCAUGAGAUCUCCAUCCUCUGCGAAGCCGAUGUCGGCUUAAUCGUCUUCUCCACCUAGGGCAAGCUCUUUGAAUAUGCUACUGAUUCGUGGUAUAUUGAACUGCAUUCUUGAUACAAGCAAGAUAGAAGCUGGGAAGAUGCAGCUUGAGGAGCAAGUGUUCGACGUGGAGCAGCUUCUGGAGGACGUGGUUGAUCUAUACUAUCCUGCUGGCAUGAAUAAAGGCGUAGACGUGAUCUUGGAUCCAUGCGAUGGCUCUGUCUCGAGAUGUCGUUGGGCUAUAGAUUCAAGUAUGUAGCAAUAACUUGCGAUGUGAAGAUGAUCAGGUGGUGCAAGUGGUGAUUCAUGAGCUCGUUCGUGCUUAUGAUGAGUGUCGUGCUGCUAAUCUCGACUGGACUAACUGCGCUCAUCACGCUUGCAAUGAGGUUAACUAACUAUCAUUAAGAAAUCUAAGCAUUGUUUAAUGCUUCAUCAUGCUUUUGUAAUUCUUGGUUAUGCAUAGUAUUUGUUAGAGCAUAUUCGAGCUAAUCAUCUCAGCGGUUAUUGCCACUUGAAACAAGAGCUUCUUCGUGGGCAUUUGAAGAUAAAGAAAAUACUCUCACAGUAUUAGGACUGGAUGAUACACUGCAAUAAACUGGAGCAGAGACUGAAUGUUAGUGAAAUUUGUAGCAGCAAUGAGCAAAUCAUGCAAAGAGUAGGUAACAUUGUUGGAUUAGAAACUCCUAUUGUUAUAUACCUUGCUGUUGCUGAUGACCUCCUUGAAGAUAACUCCGUACUCGAGGGGUGGGGCAAAGGUUUGCUUCCUUUCGAGAAGAAGAAGUUGGGAGAAGAAGAAGUUGGGUGUUCUUGACACGUACAAGAAGCACCCCUAUCUGAUUCAAUCGGCUAUAGACUAUGAAGUUUGCUUGAGAUCUGAUGUGUUUGUGGGGAACACCUUCUCGACUUUCUCCAGCCUUAUUGUUCUUGACAGAACUCAAUUGAUGAUCAGCAAGGGUCUUACACAACAGUGCGGGUUAGAUGUUAGAUGGCCUUCAUAUGCCUACAAUUUAGAAGGUGAAUUAAAUGGUCCACGCCCUUGGGCAGCUAAUAUGUCGGAUGUGAGCCUCCAAGCCAUUAGUUAUGGUUCGAAUCAUGUUUCUUGUCAAUGAUUCUUGAGUUUUGUUUUCCAUGCUUAUUGUGGGACGCGGUUUUCGACAAAUUCGGUGGUAAACCUUCAACUCAUUUUUGUAGAUGGCAUGAGGUACAUGAUUUUGGCCUUGUAUAUCUUCAGUGUUAGGCAAUCUUUUAUAUAUAAUUCUUCAUUCUUAUACUCCUUUGAAAUAUGUUAGGUUGUGUAAAUGAUAUGGAAUACUUCCCUGAUUAGUCAUUUAAGUUUGAGAUUGUUCAUUGAUUGAAUUCUCUCCGAGAUAUUGAUACUUUGUAAAAGUAGGGGGAAAUUCGGAUUGAUCACAACGUGCUCGUCUUCUGGUAAUGAAUAUUUGGCUGUGUUGUUGAAUGUGUUAGAUUUUCUGCUAGAGCAAUGAAAGCAAUGAGAGGAAACCCAUAUUGUUCGGGAAUAAAAGCGGAGGAUGCCAUGAAAGCUAUUUGGAGUACCUGCUAUAACGACACUGCGCCCUUCGACACUUGAGAGAGGCCGCUACUCACUUCUCUUGGCAUCAAAUUAAUUGCCACUCUGAAGUUGCUACUGCACUGAUUAUGUAUUUAAGUUUACAUUCUCGAGUUAUCUUUAAUCCACGCAGAUUUGACAUUACUACUAAUUUCUUUGUUGUAGAGCUGGUUAUGGAGUUUUGUUAUUUAUUUGUUAAUUUAGUGUUUUUUGGUUACUUGAUCUAUCCUCCAAUUUUGGGGGCCGAAUUGGAAGCAAUUGAUUUUGAAAUUAUUUUUGGGUGAA
This is an RNA transcript of Salvia miltiorrhiza (redroot sage), 2619 nucleotides long. It is a transcript of the gene named mitochondrial inner membrane protease ATP23-like, with no coding region annotated. NCBI's taxonomy places the organism in Eukaryota, Viridiplantae, Streptophyta, Magnoliopsida, Lamiales, Lamiaceae. The transcript is spliced from 3 exons. The record is from RefSeq and is a predicted model, not a curated record.